AAAUGAAUUGACGGGGGCCCGCACAAGCGGAGGAACAUGUGGUUUAAUUCGAUGAUACGCGAGGAACCUUACCCGGGCUCGAACGGCUGUUGAAUAAUUAUGAAAGUAGUUAGUCGCAAGACAACAGUCGAGGUGCUGCAUGGUUGUCGUCAGCUCGUGCCGUGAGGUGUCGGCUUAAGUGCCAUAACGAGCGCAACCCUUACCGUCAGUUACCAGCAUGUAAAGGUGGGGACUCUGACGGGACUGCCGCCGUAAGGUGAGAGGAAGGCGGGGAUGACGUCAAAUCAGCACGGCCCUUACGUCCGGGGCGACACACGUGUUACAAUGGGGGGGACAGCAGGAGGCUACCCGGCGACGGGAUGCAAAUCCACAAACCCUCUCCCGGUUCGGAUCGGAGUCUGCAACCCGACUCCGUGAAGCCGGAUUCGCUAGUAAUCGCGCAUCAGCCAUGGCGCGGUGAAUACGUUCCCGGGCCUUGUACACACCGCCCGU
Molecule: ribosomal RNA, 492 nt
Filed under: uncultured bacterium
Lineage: Bacteria
Description: bacterial SSU rRNA
Rfam family: Bacterial small subunit ribosomal RNA
Source: RNAcentral